This 1049-nucleotide long non-coding RNA is filed under the name Cercocebus atys (sooty mangabey). RNAcentral's name for it is "lncRNA (ENSCATG00000045520.1)". The record is from RNAcentral. Lineage: Eukaryota; Metazoa; Chordata; Mammalia; Primates; Cercopithecidae.
AUGAGGCAAGGCGCAGCUGUUGUGUCUUCUUCCUGCAGGUUCAUCACCUUGCUGGGGCUCACCCUCCCUUUGGCUGGAACAGUCUGCGUGGCAGCUAGGGAAUGGGGGUCAGCCUGCAGGACAUCGCAGGAACAUGGGGCACCUCUGGCCACUUACGGGAGUCUGCCACUGAGCAAGGCGGAGAGCAAUGAACAAAGAAGCAGAAUCCCAUGGACGCACUGCCCGGCACAUCUGCCCCUGUCAGCAGCCCCGAGCAGAGGAAAAAGGUUUCUAGGAGCCAUGGUUCAUGCUCUGGAGUGCUUUUCUUGGCAGAAGAAUGUGCCAGCCAUCUGGACUACAAAGACACCAGGCAGCACCUGCUCUGCACUGAAUGGCAUUCGUGUUUUGAGUCUUCUGUGGAUCAUCUCGGGACAUACCAGUCAGAUGACUGCAUGGCUGUCUUUGGAUAACGUGCUUGAAUGGAAAAGCAGAGUGCUUAGAAACCCACUGUACAUUUACUCUCGGAGCGGUCCCUUCUAUCUUGGAGUGGAUACAUUUUUCCUGAUCAGGUACAGGCUGUGAUACAUGUGGCGAUCAAUCUUCUUAGACUCACGGUAUCUUCUAAGCAGCCGGCGCAGAAUCCUCAUCUCCUCAUCCACGUGACCUUCUUCAUUCCGGGCAUUGGCUGUACCCUUCUGCUUACCUAUGCCGCAUGUGCCUGCCCUCCGGCGGGCCAAGGUAUUUUUCCGGAUCUGCGCCCGGGGAAGGACCGUCACAGGCUUGCGGAUGAUCACCCAUCUUUGAUCAGCUUCGGAUCUGCUGACGGAGUUGGCAUUGGCGAUUUCAUUGUCUCAUUGGGGUCUAACCAGACCUUCUUCUUGCCACAGCGGAAGGAACACUAAGAGCGAGCCUCUUCUGAAGCCCUGAGCAUACUCAUGGCUGCGGCCGCAGCAGCGAAAGGCCCUUUUUUUUUUUUUUUUUGAGAUAGAGUCUCACUCUGUCCGUCCAGCUGGAGUACAGUGGCACAAUUUUGGCUCACCACAACCUCUGCCUCCUGGGUUCAAGUGAUU